RNAcentral lists this long non-coding RNA (10626 nucleotides) under Pelobates cultripes (western spadefoot toad). The record is from RNAcentral. Lineage: Eukaryota; Metazoa; Chordata; Amphibia; Anura; Pelobatidae.
CAGAAAUCACACAGACUGGGGAUGAGGUCAGGAAACAGAGCCAAUAGGAGCAGUGAGCGUUCUCCAAUACUGGCUGUGAAGACUUGUAGUCUCAUGUUGUAAGCAUAUUAGAAAUCUUUCAUUGUCUUAUUUUAAUGCGUAGCAGCAAUCUCUCUCUGUCUCUCUCUGUGACAGCUGCAGGUCUAUAGUCUUACUGGAGACCUACUUGGAAGUGUGAGGUUACACCUGGACUCGUUUGUUACACAUCUCUCAUUGCGAAAUCCUGCUGACGAGGUUCUGCUGUUAAUCAUCGGACCCAGUUUUCAGACCAAUAUAUUUGGGAAUUCCAACUUUGAGGUAGAAAGCUUUGCCAGGGGGCAGUGUACAUACAGUGUCAGUGAUACAGACAAGAGGCGCUAUACAUUCAGUGUCAGUGAUACAGACAGGGGGGGCGCUGUACAUACAGUGUCAGUGAUACAGACAGGGGGCGCUAUACAUGCAGUGUCAGUGACACAGACGGGGGCGCAGUGUAUACAUGCAGUUUUACAGACAGGGGGCGCUGUACAAACAGUGUCAGUGAUACAGACAGGGGGCGCUGUACAUACAGUGUCAGUGAUACAGACGGGGCGAUGUACAUGCAGUGUCAGUGAUACAGACAGGGGGGCUGUACAUGCAGUAUCAGUGAUACAGACAGGGGGCGCUGUACAGGCAGUGUCUGAUACAGACGGGACGCUAUACACGCAGUGUCUGAUACAGACAGGGGACGCUAUACACGCUGUGUCUGAUACAGACAGGAGACGCUAUACACGCAGUGUCUGAUACAGACAGGGGACGCUAUACACGCAGUGUCUGAUACAGACAGGGGACGCUAUACACGCAGUGUCUGAUACAGACAGGGGACGCUAUACACGCUGUGUCUGAUACAGACAGGGGACGCUAUACACGCAGUGUCUGAUACAGACAGGGGACGCUAUACACGUACAGGCAGUGUCUGAUACAGACAGGGGGCGCUGUACAGGCAGUGUCUGAUACAGACAGGGGACGCUGUACAGGCAGUGUCUGAUACAGACAGGGGACGCUAUACACGCAGUGUCUGAUACAGACAGGGGACGCUAUACACGCAGUGUCAGUGAUACAGACAGGGGACGCUAUACACGCAGUGUCAGUGAUACAGACGGGACGCUGUACGUGCAGUGUCAGUGAUACAGACAGGGGGCGCUGUACACGCAGUGUCAGUGAUACAGACGGGACGCUGUACGUGCAGUGUCAGUGAUACAGACAGGGGGCGCUAUACGUGCAGUGUCAGUUAUACAGACGGGGGCGCUGUACAUGGAGUGUCAGUGAUACAGAUCUGUCUCUCGCCCACAGGUAAAGUCCCGAGAUGAGCAGCACGUGGUGGGGAUGAUCAGGAAUGAGAGUGAGCAGUUCUCUGUGUCUUUUCCUCUGGAUCUGGAUGUUACAGUGAAAGCCUUGUUAUUGGGGGGCAGCUUCUUUCUGGUAAGUGUCCAGUGCACUGCGUCAUCCAGAAUAAUCCAGCUAUGUACUGUAAUAAUGGCUGAAAUAGUUCUCUACCCCAGAAUCUCCACCUGUCAUGCAGAUACCUGGUUUGGCUUUCAUUUGUAAAUAAAGAUUUAGGAAUCGGGUUGUCUAUGUCUGCUGCAGACAUGCUGGCGGCUGACUAGGCCAAUGCGAGACCUUCAAAUCCACAAUGUCACGCUCCUUCAUCUGUUUAAUUUUAUUCUCAAUAUCUGCAUGGGGUGUGUUCUCGCAAGAGGUGACAGCCUGAUGAAUGGUGUGUCUCCAAGUCUUCCAAUCGGAGGUUAGAGCAGACUGUUGAUGUUGGAGACUUUGUACCUUUUCGUUGGUGCUCCUUUGUUGUGGUGUCCAGUGGCGAGUUCACAUAUAGGACCUUAGGUAAGGGAUAAUCUUCCAUCCUGGAGACAUGCCCUGCCCAGCGCAGCUGCAACUUCAAAAGCAUUGCUUCGAUGCUGGUGGUCUCUGCCUGUUUGAGAACUUCGAUGUUGGUGAUGAAGUCAUUCCAUUGAAUGUUGAAGAUUGUGCGGAGGCAGCGUUGGUGAAAGCAGUCAGAGUCACAGGAGAUAGGUAACCUCUGACUUGGGGAAUGGUUAGUAUGACAGCUCUGUACUCAGGGCCAGCAGGGGGAGCCCGAAGGUGGGGGCGCCCAGAGGAGCCCUGUCACUGUAUGGCAGAGCAGGCACCUUCUUACCUUAAUGACCGGUGCCUGCUCUGCCAUCAAAUGCCGGUGCCCGGAGGAGAAAAAAAGGCGGCGAGGGAGGCUCUUCUUGCAGCCUCUCAUUCCUCCCUCGCGUGCCCUCUGUGAUGCUGGAAGCCGGAAUAUGACGUCAUUCCGGCCCCAUCACACUAAACGGCACGCUGGAGGAGUGAGACCCUAGGGAUGUGAGUGUCUGUCAGUGAGUGUCAGUGUCUGUGUAUCUGUCUGUCAGUGAGUGAGUGACAUGAAGGGGCGGUAAAAUGGAUUUUUGCCUAGGGCGGGAAAAACCCAUGCACCGGCCCAGUCUGUACUGACUUAUUUUUGUGCCUCUCUUCAGAUGUUUGUUGUGCCAGACUCUACUAUACACUCUGCCAAAUGCUCUGUUUGACUUUGCCAGUCUAUCUAUCUUGUGUUGAUCUUGGCAUGUAAAGAGGUGAUGCACCCAAGGUAGUUGAACUGAUCGACUCUCUUCAGCUCUGGUUCACCAUAUGUGACGGUAAACUUCAUGAGGUCUAGGCUGGUAGAGGACUUCUGUCUUUUUCAGGCUUACUUCUAAUCCAAAGAGCUCUGCAGCCUCUGUUAUUCGCUGCAAAGCUGUCACUGUGUGUAAAUCAAAGGCAGCAUUGUCCACGAAAAGCAGCUGUCUGAGUUGGUUCACAGUCUUGGUGUGAACCCUUAGUCGCCUCCAGUAAAGUAAGCAGCCCUCAGUGUGGUAAUGGAUAUAGACAUCAUUCUCUUUAUCAAGGUGAAGCAUCAAGCUGAAAUAAAUUGUGAAGAGAGUUUGUGCAAGAACACAGCCUUGUUUUACACCACUGCCUAUAAGGAAUGGUUCUGAGAAGUUGUUGCAGUGUCUGACUUGACCAUAUUGAACUUCGUGUAGCUAAAUGAUCAUAUUGGGGAACUUAGGAGGACAUCCUAGACGUUGCGAAAUUAACCACAUACCUUUUUUUUCUCACAGUGUUGAACACUUUGGUGAUGUGAAUGACUGCCACGUAAAAUACCUUGUUCUGUUCCCAACCUUUUUGGAGCUGUCUGAGAACAAAUGCCUUUACGGUGGUGCUCGUUCUAGCUCUUAAGCCGCAUUGGCUCUCUGGAAAGCGUUCUUCUGCAGUGGUGGGUACCAGUUUGUUCAAAAGUACCUGUAGCGGAACGCCAAUUAUAAAUCCACGAAUUCCGCUGGUUCAGAAACGAAUCCACAGUCAAGCGCUGAAAACCAUAAGGCAAUAUCCCCAACCUCCCAGUAACCGGACGAGACACAGUUCUGAGAGUCAACUGACAACCUUUUAAUCGGCAGGACAAUUUAUACAAGUCCCCAUGCAAGGGGUUUCCUGAGUCCCUCCCCAGGGGCACUCCCAGAGGGGACUACAUGGGGGACUUACAUUACAGCAUAUUUCUCCCAUCAGGCACCGCUGCACGAGAGGGAUCAUCUUCCCAGAAUGCACCGUUAAGUGGAUUAUCCCCUCGUGCAGCAGAACCGACAAUUCACACAAAAAUCCAUAACUUGGUGAAUAUACAGUGGAUUUACACGAAUGGACGUUCGGUAGAUAGCUGGGGUCUGAGCGCAUCAUUCGUGAGAUUACCGCUCAGAUCCCAGCUAAAAUAACCGAACGCCGCACGAAAAACACAAUUCGUAUAAAACAUAUAAAAAGAACCGAUUGCUUGUAGGGAACAAAAUACCGAAUGUCCCGAAACUCCCGAACGCCCUGGAGGCUCAGCGGGGUUCGUGCCGUCGAGUAGCCGUUUUUAGUACCAGGCGCUCGACGACAUAACCCCGCUGAGGGAACAAAGGAUCCAAGAUGGCCGACCGUAUAUGGCGUGUAUAUGGCCGACCGAUAGCGUCACGUAGGUCCUGUGGUAAUUUACCUUGUUCCCAGCAGCAGACAAAGAAAUCAUGAAGUUUAGUGUUGGGCACCCAUACUUUCAGACUUCAGUCGGAAUUCCAUCGACUCCUGAUGCCUUGCCACUUUUCAGCUUUUUAAUGGUCUUACAUUGGAUGGUUCUGCAUACAAGACAGAAUGCUGCUCUCUUAUAGAAACAUAGAAUGUGAUGGCAGAUAAGAACCAUUCGGCCCAUCUAGUCUGUCCAACAUUCUAAAUACUUUCAUUAGUCCCUGGCCUUAUCUUAUAGUUAGGAUAGCCUUAUGCCUAACCCACACAUGAGGGUGCAGACAAUUUUUUUUUUUUUUUUUUGCUGGAAGAUGGUGUUGGUGAUGACAAGUUUCUGAGCCCAGUCUCUGCCUACUCUGGCAUUUAAGUCAUCAUGGAUCGUAACCUAGUUGUCAACAAGAACGUUCUGCAUGAGGUUGUGUAGAACUUUUUAGCAGGACUUACUUGAAGAGUUAGGGCAUACACGCUAAACAGCAUGACAUUUUGCUUGUUUUAAAGUUGAAGGCGCAUGGAGAUAAUGCGAUCUGAGUGACCUGAUGACAGAUUUUCAAGUCGGGAGGCAAUGAAGUUCCUGAUCAUACAGACAACAACACAGAGGAGACCAGUAGAGGGUGUAUCCUGCGCCAAGCUCUUCAAGGCUGUCUACCUCUGGGAGGUAUACUUCACUGAGAGCAGUGAUAUUGUGGUGAAAGUAACCUCGCCACUGUUUUUUGGAGGGGCCUGUUUGCCAGCCUCCUUCUCUGUGACUAUGGCCCCUGCAAUAGACCAUGUGCACGGUCGGUCAAAACUAUGACUUCUAUAAAAUGUCUGAACCUCUGAUCUCGGUGAUUUUUGGAUAUAUUGUCAGGGCUAUCAGGGAAUGUAACAUUUAUGGGGAUUUGUUGUGUUUUGGGGUACUUAUGAGACUUUGUAAAAAUGUGUGUUUUUCUGCCUGGAGAUAAUUGGGUUAAUACAGUAUCUCACUCCAUUAUCUCACAGGCAGAUUGGAGGGAUUGUAUGCUUGUUAUGGGAGUGUCGUACAUUUAAUUACUGUUUUUAUUGGUUUGUUAACUUGUGUCCCUGUGCCCAACAAGGUCCACAUGGAUGUCACCCUUGUUGGUAAAUUUGCAUAAAAGGCCAGUGUGGCCCUAUUAAAAUGGAGUUACUGUUUUACCCUCAACAUGGUCUCAUCUCAUGUGUGGGGGGGGAAAGGCUGUGUCUACCCUGGGAAUUGCUAUAUCACUAUACUCCACAGGGAUUAUAAUCACUAGCUCUUUUAAGAGUGUAACGGAUCGCCUGGCACCUCGACUGGGUACCUCCGUUGAAAGAUGCUCCUAGCGCUUCCUGAGGACUCCAAGCACUGCAGCAGACGCCACAAUCACCGAACCAGAGAAGCGUUAACCUUCUCUCAAGCAUAUGAAUGCUGUAGACAGUUGAAUAGGAACCAUACGAAUAGGUUUACUCUCCUAGCAGUCAAACUGGAACAGCAUACAAUAAAUCCUUCCCCCAAUAAUGAGACGACACUUCACUUUGAGGGUUAAAACAGGAACUCCCUGUACUGUCACAUACAGUCUCUUUUAUUCCCAAUCCACAAACAUAGUACAGCCCACAGGGCGUUACAAAACAACCAAUCAAUCCGUACAAUACACCCAGACACUCCCACACAAAAUCCUCCCCUCUGCCUGUGAUAUGAUUACUGAACACAAUGGGUAAUCUCAUUAUCACCAGCAGAGGAAUACAGUUUUUACACAAUAUUUAUAACUUCUAAAAUAUACAUGUCACAAACAUAAAACAUACAUUUUCAUAAUCAAUCCAUUCAGGGGAACAACAUAUUAAAAAAUGGCACGAAUCAGACCAGGGGUUCAAAAGUUAAGGGAAAGUCCUUUGUGACUAAAUGAAGCAUGGCUUUCUGGCCCAAACCAGUUUCAGAGUCUUCUAUCCUGGAGAGUAAUUCAAUUAUCUCCCAGGACAGACACAAGACUCCAUUAAGCACAUGGUUGCAAAAAGACACAAAACACUUUAAAAUACAUAAAGUCACAUUUACACAUAAACACAGACAUUUCACAUAUCCCCAGAUAGCUAUGAGUGCACAUUAUUAGCGAUGGCACUCAGAUCACACAAAUAAGCCUUCUGCAGGGAAAUAAACGGUUUAACCUGCAGGGCCAUAGUCCAAAGGGAGCAGGCGAGCAACCAGGCUUCUCCAGUUCACAGUGGCGAGGUUGGUUUCGCCACAAAGAGCUUGUUUCUGCUACGCUCUCUGGAGUAGGAGAGGUUCACCCAUUGGAAGCUGGAUCCUGGUCUUGGGUCCAGGGUGGGUCGAGGAUGGAGAGUUCCCAGCCAAGCUGUAACGCUGGACGUGGGGACUGCGGUGUUGAUGGAGUCGGGUGGAGUGUUUGGAGUCCUUGGUGAGUACUAGGAGCAUCGACUGACGGAGGUACCCAGUCGGGGGCCCAGGCGGUCCGUCACAUCUGGUGGCAGUGGUGGGAUGGCUUCCUAGUGCGAGGAAAAAUAUCCUGGAGACACCGGUAAUGUGUGGAUUUAUAUUGAGGGCAACACCAAUCCCCGUACAGCGCCCCUGGCAACAGCAGUAUGGAACCAGCUAGUCCUCAAAUAGCGUUCCUAUACAAGGAGGAAGAUGACCCGGACUGGAGGGAUGCAGUCCGGAAAGACGUCUGGUAUGAGAUCAUACAGCAUCGGCGAGGCGAAAGUCUACCCAGUGAAGAGCAGCGUCGACAGAUGCAAGUGGCGCUGCGGAUGCCUCUCCUGGGAGAGCAGCCCCUGAAUGAGUGGGUGACAGAACUCGAGGACCUGGUAUGGAAGGAGCUUUAGCUAGACGACUCCUACCAGGCCCUAUGAUGGUAUAUGGGUAGGCAUACCCCCUGGAUGGCUGAGCACGAAAGGCCUGAGGGGGAGGAUUAUGAUGACCCUGGCCUGUUAUGGGAGGCCUUUGCAGAACCAGAGUUUGGAAGUGCUGGAAAGUCACGAUUCUGUGACGUUUAUGAGAUCUCUCUACCGGCCCUACAGGGAUGCUGGGCAGCCGGCUCAGAUCCCCAGCUACAGCAGGAGUUACUGGGAGUAGGGACAGUCAGUCCUACUCCCCAGUGGCAGCUUACCUUGCAGGGAGAGGAGACAACCGGUCUCUCUCUCCAGCAGCAGUGCAUCCUACAGGGAGUGGAGACAAUCUGUCUCACUCCCCAACAGUAGUGUGUGUUACCGGUCUCCCUCCCCAGCGGCAGUGUACCUUGCAGGGAGAGGAGACAACCGAUCUCUCUCUCCAACAGCAGCCGGAGAUACAGAGAGAGGAGACAACUGGCCCUUCUCCCCAACCACAGGGGGACAGCACUCCUGACUCCAAUGGUGCAGAUGGGACCAUGGUCUCUGCACCAGACCUACAGGGAUGCUGGAUGGCCGGUCCAGAUCCCCAACCAACACCGCAGGAAUGCCUGGAGGAGGAGAUAGGCGAUCCCUCCUCUCCACAGCAGAACCUCAACCAGGUUCUGGGGGUAGUAUCCGCUGAACCUAUCCCAGGAGAAGAGCUGGCAACAAGGCAGAGCGCCGCUGGCCUCUACCCUACCUGCCCCCUUGUUAAAGGGCAGGACUACGCACUAGUCCUCCCAGCAGAAGUGCUGACAUCAGGGCAGAGCGCAGUUGCCCUCUGUCCACCCAUUUCCUGUUGUCCAGGGCCUGAAUACCCGCAGGCAACCCCAGCAGAAGCGCUGGCAACAGGGCAGAGCGUAGUUGGCCUCUGCCCUCCCCUUGUCCUUAAUCCUGAAACUGGCACCCCUCUCAAUCACCCAGCUGUAACGAUAGCUGCGGGGCAGAGCACCACUGGUCUCUGCCCACCAAGUAACACGAACUACCAACUGGAGAGCUACCGAGAAGCCAGUACCAGUAUUACUUUAUCGGUGGGAUACUCGACUAACUCAGGCACUGACCAACAGGAGAUCAGGUACCUGGUUAGUCUCCCAGAGGGAGAUAGGUGGUGAAAGUAACCUCGCCACUAGUUUUAGGAGGGGCCUGUUUGCCAGCCUCCUACCCUGUGACUAUGGCCCCUGUGAUAAAACUUGCUUUAAAUCACUGUUUGUGCCUUUUUGGAUUUUUAUGGCCACAGUUCAAACUUUCAAAAUGGCACUUUUUAAACUCCUGAACAGUCUAAGUGGCCGCCAUUCAACAUUCGAACAGGUGGUGUUGGCCAUCUUGUUCGCAUGGACCAAAACCGCGAAUAGACUUCAGGGGGACUUAGCCGCGAAUGCCCUGGAAGAUCUCUACAUGGUAUAAGGAGGAUGUUUAUUAGGAGAUACAGAUAGAUAUUAUACACACACCAUACGGGGCACUGACCUAUUGAGUUGGAGCCUAUUAUACCCUGCAUAUUAUCAGCCAGACAUUCUCGUUUUAACAUUUAUUACAUGGAAGACUGUUGCUGAUCAAUGGAAUCAGUGGGUGUGUUCAAUUUAUAAAGCAAGAUGGUAUUAAUACUUUGCUCUCCGGCUGUAUGCUGGUGGAGAUGGCGUGUUUCAGACCGUGCCGUGCUGCUGUAGUCAGUGACAUAGGAGAAGACGUUAAAGUGUAUGUAGAUCUGGGGUUCGCAUUUCUCACAAUGCUCUUGGUAAAACCUGUAAGUGAGUCGACUUGCAUGUGAUUGGUUAGUGAGUCGCCGCGGUGUGCAAGCUUCCAGUGGUAGCAGUAAUAGCGAUAUAGAAAGGGUAGUAGAUACCUGGAAUAGCUUUCCAGUGGGAGCAGUAACAGUGAUAUAGAAAGGGUAGUAGAUACCUGGAAAAGCGUUCCAGUGGGAGCAGUAACAGUGAUAUAGAAAGGGUAGUAGAUACCUGGAAGAGCCUUCCAGUGGGAGCAGUAACAGCGAUAUAGAAAGGGUAGUAGAUACCUGGAAUAGCCUUCCAGUGGGAGCAGUAACAGUGAUAUAGAAAGGGUAGUAGAUACCUGAAUAGCCUUCCAGCGGGAGCAGUAACAGUGAUAUAGAAAGGGUAGUAGAUACCUGGAAUAGCCUUCCAGUGGGAGCAGUAACAGGGAUAUAGAAAGGGUAGUAGAUACCUGGAAUAGCCUUCCAGUGGGAGCAGUAACAGUGAUAUAGAAAGGGUAGUAGAUACCUGGAAUAGCCUUCCAGUGGGAGCAGUAACAGUGAUAUAGAAAGGGCAGUAGAUACCUGGAAUAGCCUUCCAGUGGGAGCAGUAACAGUGAUAUAGAAAGGGCAGUAGAUACCUGGAAUAGCCUUCCAGUGGAAGCAGUAACAGUGAUAUAGAAAGGGUAGUAGAUACCUGGAAUAGCCUUCCAGUGGGAUCGGUAACAGAGAUAUAGAAAGGGUAGUAGAUACCUGGAAUAGCCUUCCAGUGGGAGCAAUAACAGUGAUAUAGAAAGGGUAGUAGAUACCUGGAAUAGCCUUCCAGUGGGAGCAGGAACAGUGAUAUAGAAAGGGUAGUAGAUACAUGGAAUAGCCAUCCAGUGGGAGCAGUAACAGUGAUAUAGAAUGGGUAGUAGAUACCUGGAAUAGCCUUCCAGUGGGAGCAGUAACAGUGAUAUAGAAAGGGUAGUAGAUACCUGGAAUAGCCUUCCAGCGGGAGCAGUAACAGUGAUAUAGAAAGGGUAGUAGAUACCUGGAAUAGCCUUCCAGUGGGAGCAGUAACAGUGAUAUAGAAAGGGUAGUAGAUACCAGGAAUAGCCUUCCAGUGGGAGCAGUAACAGUGAUAUAGAAAGGGUAGUAGAUACAUGGAAUAGCCUUCCAGUGGGAGCAGUAACAGUGAUAUAGAAAGGGUAGUAGAUACCUGGAAUAGCCUCCCAUUGGGAGCAGUAACAGUGAUAUAGAAAGGGUAGUAGAUACCUGGAAUAGCCUUCCAUUGGGAGCAGUAACAGUGAUAUAGAAAGGGUAGUAGAUACCAGGAAUAGUCUUCCAGUGAGAGCAGUAACAAUGAUAUAGAAAGGGUAGUAGAUAGCUGGAAUAGCAUUCCAGUGGGAGCGGUAACAGUGAUAUAGAAAGGGUAGUAGAUACCUGGAAUAGCCUUCCAGUGGGAGCAGUAACAGUGAUAUAGAAAGGGUAGUAGAUACAUGGAAUAGCCUUCCAGUGGGAGCAGUAAAGACACAAGUUAAUAGAAAAUAAUGAUAUAAUUGUUUUUGUUACAGGAGUCUUUUAUUUAUUCGAGGCGGAGGCAGAUGGCGGCGACAAGAAACAAAUGAUAGAAGAGGUGGAACUCGACUUGUGAUUUUUCUUUCUUUUGCGGAGAAUCAUAGUGACCCCUGCUGGUGAAUUCGUGUUGGUACCAUAGUCACCCUCUUAACACAAAGUGCUGAAUGUUUACACAGCCUCAGCGUUGUAUAAAGUGUGGUUAUAUGGUGUGGUGUUGGUUAUAUUGUUUUUAUUGUUUAUGAUUCAUAUUUUAUUUUAUGAAAGUAGAAUAAAACAUUUUGUAGAGCUCCUGUUUCGAAUGUCCUGUAAACCUGAUUUCGAGAUGAUGAAUCCGAUAAAUUGCAUGUUGCUAUCGCAUUAGAACCGAUAAAACACGACCGCUCUAAUCGUGGGGUUUAUUUAGUGAAUCUGGC